UGCUUUUCCCAGAUGGGACGUUUUUAUGUCUAUUAGGAGAAGAGGAACUGCAACACAUCCAGGAGUUUGCCAACAAACAAACGGAUGCAAUUAAACACACUUGCCUUCAGAUCAUCAAGAGGAGGCAAAGUCAAGACUGGUGGAAACUCCAACAAGGACAAAUGUGAGCUGGAAGACGACUCGGCCUCCUCAAGGUUAAACUUGAACUUGGUUAAGAGCCCGACUUUGCGCAACCCAGAUCCUGCUUUCUUCUUCCACACUCUCUGUUUUUGAAUUAAACAUCCAUUUUACCACCCUGUAAUAACUCUUGGUUGAUGUUAUAUUUCCAAUGCAUUUGCUUAAAAAGUGUUUCUUCUGUAUCCGUGUGUGGAAAAGUGAUUAAAAGUCUUUAUUGGCAAAUUA
Molecule: non-coding RNA, 402 nt
Organism: Gasterosteus aculeatus aculeatus (three-spined stickleback)
Lineage: Eukaryota; Metazoa; Chordata; Actinopteri; Perciformes; Gasterosteidae
Source: RefSeq, a predicted model, not a curated record